GUUCUCUCAAGCUCAGUUGGCAGAGCGUAGGACUCUUCAUCUCAGGGCUGUGAGUUUGAGCCCCACGUUGGGCA
Non-coding RNA from Podarcis lilfordi (Lilford's wall lizard), 74 nucleotides. The record is from the annotation of a GenBank genome assembly. NCBI's taxonomy places the organism in Eukaryota, Metazoa, Chordata, Lepidosauria, Squamata, Lacertidae.